AGCCCCGUGGUCUAGCGGCCAAUCGUGACCGUAAUGCGGUCGACCUCGCGACGGCAGUUCGAAUCUGCCCGGGGCUA
RNAcentral lists this transfer RNA (77 nucleotides) under Methanobacteriota archaeon. RNAcentral's name for it is "Euryarchaeota archaeon tRNA-Asp". Lineage: Archaea; Methanobacteriati; Methanobacteriota. The record is from RNAcentral.